Pezoporus occidentalis (night parrot) is the source of this 2675-nucleotide long non-coding RNA. RefSeq lists it as uncharacterized. The transcript is spliced from 3 exons. The record is from RefSeq and is a predicted model, not a curated record. Lineage: Eukaryota; Metazoa; Chordata; Aves; Psittaciformes; Psittacidae.
UCUCCUUGGCUUGGAAAUUUAUGUGAAACCCUGAUUGCACUAUUCCCCACUGUUGGACCAUCUUUGUAUAACUGAUGCUUUUAUUGUUCCACUUACCUUCUGCUGGCCCAGCUGUAAUGUUGGCUUGCAGCUCAGGUCCAUAGGCGAUGGUUCGGGCUUGCACUUUGAAUAAAUAGGUCAUACCUUUGGUGAGAUCUCGGACCUUCAACCAGCGUUGCCAGUUCCCUUUUAUGUCCACAGUCACCACCUUACUUACUCCUGGAACAGUCACACAGAUAAAAAACAUAAGAGAAGGUUGCAAGGCAAAAAAAUGAAAUCAAGUGGAGUUUAUUACAUCUAGAUGUGAGGGCAACUGUGAGAUAGCUCUACGAACUACAAGUAAUAGCAACGUCAAGCAAGAUAAAUGAAACCAGGAGAAAUGGGAGAUUGCCUUGUAGCCUUGGAUGUUCCCAUUCUGGCUGUCAGCCGGAGGUGGGUCCCAGCUGCACAUAGUGAGUGCACAAGGUGACAGUGACCACCAGUAAAAUACAGCUUGUUCAGAGGGGUGCACUCGUUUAAUUGUGGCUCUGUCUUCUGGGCUUCAUGGUGGAGCGCAGGAAGUUCAGGGCAACAGUACUGCUGUCAAAGACCAAAAAGCUCAAGAUUUUGAGACUUCCACAGCAUACAACAGAGUGUGAGGCCAAGCUGGUCACACAGUACAAGCCUGAAAAUGCGUCGUGGAGAUUUGCAGAUGAUGACAUGCUCAGGGAAACAGGAAUAUGUGCAAUCGCGGAAGAAAAUGGACCACUUUAACAACGUAUUUUCUUUCGUGGUAGUGACACUACUGCCUGUCCUCAGCUGACAGCUUCAAAGUGCUCUCAAUACCCAGGUCUAAAGCAGCAUCUUUAACAGUGUUUUUCUUUGGAUCCCCUGCGUCAGCCUGCAACAGUUGCUGCUUCUGAGAUGUGACCAUUAGAAGAGUCAGCGUGUGCGACCUGCUGCCAGAAAAACACCAUGUUUCCUCAACCCCUUUUUGGAGCACAUCUAAGAAACACAAUGGUUAAAACCUGCCAGUGAUCACUCUGCAGUGACACACUCACUGCUGGAGCUGCACUUUUGCUGGCACAGCGGCAGACAAUUUGAUGGGAAGGAAAGAAAAAAGAGGCUGAUGUUGAAAACGACAUUUCUUUUCACUACCCCAGAUCCGCCAUGAGAUGUAAAUUGUUUGGUUUUGUGCCAUGUGUGUCUGUCCCUCUGCUCAACUUUCAAAGGCUGAUAUGUACCUCCUCUUCUAAGCACAGAUUUCUUGCUGACAGAAGGACAGCAGAACAGUGCUGCUGCUGCUCGAUGUGGCUCUGUGCAGACAGCACAUUACAUUAAGGGUGAAAUGAAAUACUUUAAAAAGAAGAAAACACACCCCUAAGGCCUCUGCCUGUUUGAAACCCCAAACCAUUCACUGUAUGUAUGGACAGCCUGUGCCAAUAAAAAGCAACUGCAUUUUAAAGGUGAAUUCAAAAGCCUAUUACCUUCUAGGAAUGCAGUUCAAGAUUACUCAGCUCUGAGUUUUUUCAUGACUGUUGAAAGCAUGAAUACAUAAAAAUCAAGAUUAAAGCUAACCUCACAUGGCUUUAGCUGUUAGUGACAUUAUCAACUAUAGCAGGAGUGACACAGACCCCUGAGGGUCCAAACUCAGUCCUUGGCAGGUGGAAAGCAUUUCAUCUUCCAUGAAAAACAAAAAGUAUGUAUCCAUGAAGUCUAAUUCUGUGCACGUAUCCUGCCUUGGAAUUUCAUGCAGAUACUUGUCUGAUUCCAGUUCACCUUUGAGACUGUCUCCUUGAAACACUUUCUCAGCCAAAACCAUAAGGAGAAAGGCUGAGCAGGUUGUAUAGUAAUUUGGAAAAAAAAUAACAAUAACUAUGGACUGGGAUGAGAUUGGCAGAAUCAAGUAAAAACAACUCUAUUGGGAAAUGCAGUGAGUGUCAAAAUGAGCCCAUAAAUAAAGUUAUACAUCUAAAUUCACAUUUAAACAUAUCACUGCCCCCAUUUUCCAGUCGUGCUGAACAGCCUCUGCUCACACUGCAGUCAAUUUGAGCUUGCAAAUGCUUAUAACCUUUAAAGAGAAGGUGCUUAAAAUCCCCAGUGGCCUGCCUGUGACAGAGCUCUGUGCAUUGCAGAAGGUUCACCUUACUUUUUCUCACUGCUUCCUUGGGAUAUUUGCUCUCUGUGUCACCCAGAGCUUUUUAUCAAUACAAAACUACUAUUCCUUUUCUCAGUGACAGUUGCCACGAUGCUCUGUAGCACAGGUAGGCUACAAAUCCUUGUGAUUCAUUUGGUAUACUCGGUAACUGUUUUUAUGAAGCACUCCUUGCUGCUCUUACAUCUGCUGCAAUUGCCAGCUAGGAAAAGAUUUCUCCUCUACUGAUUUUCUAAUUGCUUCUGUAAUGCCAGUAUUAUGUCAGGAAAUUCACAGACAAGACUGGGACAAGGUUCCCUGACACUCAUGCCAUUUAAAUAAACAUGCAGGCGAAAAAAAAAUGAGGAGAAAAAUGCAGUGAAAAAGAGACUGAAGAUUUUCUGUGCAUCAGCUUGAUGCCACAGUUCCCAACAAUCCCAAGCAAGUUUCAGUUUUGUAAAGGCCUCUGAUCCUUUUCCGUCUAGCAAGCACUUCCUCCUUAGUUUAUCAAAGCAUGCCUUUG